RNAcentral lists this ribosomal RNA (177 nucleotides) under uncultured bacterium. RNAcentral describes it as "partial 16S ribosomal RNA". It matches the Rfam family "Bacterial small subunit ribosomal RNA", at positions 1325 to 1500 of the family's 1533-position model. The record is from RNAcentral.
GCUGGAAUCGCUAGUAAUCGCGGAUCAGAAUGCCGCGGUGAAUACGUUCCCGGGUCUUGUACACACCGCCCGUCACACCAUGGGAGUCGGAAAUGCCCGAAGUCUGUGACCCAACCAUUAAGGAGGGAGCAGCCGAAGGCAGGUCGGAUGACUGGGGUGAAGUCGUAACAAGGUAUC